UAGAAAGACGGGACUUGAACCCACACCUAAAGACUCAAAACCUUUAGCACUCCGUUAUGCUACUUCCU
This 68-nucleotide transfer RNA is filed under the name Stenocercus ornatissimus. RNAcentral's name for it is "tRNA-Gln". The record is from RNAcentral. Lineage: Eukaryota; Metazoa; Chordata; Lepidosauria; Squamata; Tropiduridae.